AGGGUACAGACAGGAAAGCAUGCCAGCCAGUUAAAGGUUCAAUAAUACAUGAAUUUUAUUCUCUUGCUGAGAGCUUGUAACCAACAAAAAAAGUAAACCAUGGAAAAUAAUAAGAUUUAUGGGCCUCUUGUGCUUUAAAAAUAAAGGUACCCAACUAAUAUGCUCAGAUAUAGCAAGCUUAGUGGUCCUUUGAAGAGGGCGGUAGACAUUCUUUUAUACCCAAAAACUAUGGCAGCAGUUCAAAUGUGACCAAGGUAAAUGUAGAAUGGAGAUGUUCUAAACACAGCUAGGACUCAGCAAAUCUAACACACUAAAAUCAUAAGAUUACAAUUUGAAAGAAAAUGCACAAAACCAAAUAGGAAUUUUGAGAUUUUUUCAUUUGAAGGUAAUCUUAACGCUAUUAAAUUCACAAAUAUGCUAAUUUAAAUACCCAUCAUAUCAUGGUUUGGAAAUGGGAAAUUCAUACAAAAUAGUAAUUAACAAUGAUCUUCUUUACUUGUUAACUCACAAGGAAACACCUUCGAAACUGCAUUGUGUUAAAGUUUCUGUACUAAAAUGUAGAAAAACUGAACUACACAAAUAUUGAAAAGUUAAAAAUUCCUUAAUUUUUUAUUCCUGGUACCACUACCACAAUUUACAGGGCAAUAUACCUGAUGUAAUGAAAAGAAAAAGAAAAGACAAAGCUACAACAGAUAAAAGACCUCAGGAAUGUACAUCUAAUUGACACUACAUUGCAUUAAUCAAUAGCUGCACUUUUUGCAAACUGUGGCUAUGACAGUCCUGAACAAGAAGGGUUUCCU
Molecule: long non-coding RNA, 800 nt
Filed under: Oryctolagus cuniculus (rabbit)
Lineage: Eukaryota; Metazoa; Chordata; Mammalia; Lagomorpha; Leporidae
Description: lncRNA (ENSOCUG00000036210.1)
Source: RNAcentral